UGGGGAAUAUUGCACAAUGGGCGAAAGCCUGAUGCAGCGACGCCGCGUGAGGGAUGACGGCCUUCGGGUUAUAAACCUCUUUCAGUAGGGACGAAGCGCAAGUGACGGUACCUGCAGAAGAAGCACCGGCUAACUACGUGCCAGCAGCCGCGGUAAUACGUAGGGUGCGAGCGUUGUCCGGAAUUACUGGGCGUAAAGAGCUCGUAGGCGGUUUGUCACGUCGUCUGUGAAAUCCUAGGGCUUAACCCUGGACGUGCAGGCGAUACGGGCUGACUUGAGUACUACAGGGGAGACUGGAAUUUCUGGUGUAGCGGUGGAAUGCACAGAUAUCAGGAAGAACACCGAUGGCGAAGGCAGGUCUCUGGGUAGUAACUGACGCUGAGGAGCGAAAGCAUGGGUAGCGAACAGG
RNAcentral lists this ribosomal RNA (409 nucleotides) under bacterium. RNAcentral's name for it is "partial 16S ribosomal RNA". It matches the Rfam family "Bacterial small subunit ribosomal RNA", at positions 355 to 776 of the family's 1533-position model. The record is from RNAcentral.